Molecule: ribosomal RNA, 301 nt
Filed under: uncultured bacterium
Lineage: Bacteria
Description: partial 16S ribosomal RNA
Rfam family: Bacterial small subunit ribosomal RNA
Source: RNAcentral
CAGUAGCCGCGGGAAAACGAAGGGGGCUAGCGUUGCUCGGAAUGACUGGGCGUAAAGGGCGCGUAGGCGGAUGGCACAGUCAGAUGUGAAAUUCCCGGGCUUAACCUGGGGGCUGCAUUUGAUACGUGUUGUCUAGAGUGAGGAAGAGGGUCGUGGAAUUCCCAGUGUAGAGGUGAAAUUCGUAGAUAUUGGGAAGAACACCGGUGGCGAAGGCGGCGACCUGGUCCUUGACUGACGCUGAGGCGCGAAAGCGUGGGGAGCAAACAGGAUUAGAUACCCGAGUAGUCCCUGUCUCUUAUAC